This 440-nucleotide ribosomal RNA is filed under the name uncultured bacterium. RNAcentral describes it as "partial 16S ribosomal RNA". It matches the Rfam family "Bacterial small subunit ribosomal RNA", at positions 338 to 795 of the family's 1533-position model. The record is from RNAcentral.
CCUACGGGGUGCAGCAGUAGGGAAUAUUGCUCAAUGGGGGAAACCCUGAAGCAGCAACGCCGCGUGGAGGAUGAAGGUUUUCGGAUUGUAAACUCCUUUUGUUAGAGAAGAUAAUGACGGUAUCUAACGAAUAAGCACCGGCUAACUCCGUGCCAGCAGCCGCGGUAAUACGGAGGGUGCAAGCGUUACUCGGAAUCACUGGGCGUAAGGAGCGCGUAGGCGGGAUAGCAAGUCAGAUGUGAAAUCCUAUGGCUUAACCAUAGAACUGCAUUUGAAACUGUUAUUCUAGAGUAUGGGAGAGGUAGGUGGAAUUCUUGGUGGAGGGGUAAAAUCCGUAGAGAUCAAGAGGAAUACUCAUUGCGAAGGCGACCUGCUAGAACAUAACUGACGCUGAUGCUCGAAAGCGUGGGGAGCAAACAGGAUUAGAUACCCUUGUAGUC